GAUGAACGCUGGCGGCGUGCCUAAUACAUGCAAGUCGAGCGAACAGACGAGGAGCUUGCUCCUCUGACGUUAGCGGCGGACGGGUGAGUAACACGUGGAUAACCUACCUAUAAGACUGGGAUAACUUCGGGAAACCGGAGCUAAUACCGGAUAAUAUCUUGAACCGCAUGGGUCAAUAGUGAAAGACGGUUUUGCGGUCACUUAUAGAUGGAUCCGCGCCGCAUUAGCUAGUUGGUAAGGUAACGGCUUACCAAGGCAACGAUGCGUAGCCGACCUGAGAGGGUGAUCGGCCACACUGGAACUGAGACACGGUCCAGACUCCUACGGGAGGCAGCAGUAGGGAAUCUUCCGCAAUGGGCGAAAGCCUGACGGAGCAACGCCGCGUGAGUGAUGAAGGUCUUCGGAUCGUAAAACUCUGUUAUUAGGGAAGAACAAAUGUGUAAGUAACUAUGCACGUCUUGACGGUACCUAAUCAGAAAGCCACGGCUAACUACGUG
RNAcentral lists this ribosomal RNA (497 nucleotides) under uncultured bacterium. RNAcentral's name for it is "partial 16S ribosomal RNA". It matches the Rfam family "Bacterial small subunit ribosomal RNA", at positions 28 to 507 of the family's 1533-position model. The record is from RNAcentral.